RNAcentral lists this signal recognition particle RNA (299 nucleotides) under Saimiri boliviensis boliviensis (Bolivian squirrel monkey). RNAcentral's name for it is "Metazoan signal recognition particle RNA (ENSSBOG00000008351.1)". It matches the Rfam family "Metazoan signal recognition particle RNA". Rfam says of the family: The signal recognition particle (SRP) is a universally conserved ribonucleoprotein. It is involved in the co-translational targeting of proteins to membranes. The record is from RNAcentral. Lineage: Eukaryota; Metazoa; Chordata; Mammalia; Primates; Cebidae.
GCGGGGCACGGUGGUGCAUGCCUGUAGUCCCAGCUACUCAGGAGGCAAAGGUGGCAGGAUCGCUUGAGCCCAGGAGUUCUGGACUGUAGUGUGCUAUGUCAAUCGGGUGUCUGCACUAAGUUUGGCAUCAAUAUGGCGACCUCCCAGGAGCAGGAGACCACCAGGUUGCCUAAGGAGGGGUGAACCAGCCCAGGUCGGAAAUGGAGCAGGUCAAAACUCCUGUGCUGAUCAGUAGUGGGAUUGUGCCUGUGAAUAGCCAAUGCAUUCCAGCCUGGGCAACAUAGCAAGACCCUGUCUCU